This 102-nucleotide microRNA precursor is filed under the name Marmota monax (woodchuck). Lineage: Eukaryota; Metazoa; Chordata; Mammalia; Rodentia; Sciuridae. The record is from RNAcentral.
AGUGGAUAGCUGGGUCAAAUGGUGAUUCCAUUCCCAGUUUUCUGAGGAAUCUCCAUACUGCUUUCCAUAGUGGUUGCAUCAAUUUGCAGUCCCACCAGCAAC